UACGUAGGGUCCGAGCGUUGUCCGGAAUCACUGGGCGUAAAGCGCACGUAGGCGGAUUGCUAAGUCAGGGGUGAAAUCCUGGAGCUCAACUCCAGAACUGCCUUUGAUACUGGCGAUCUUGAGUCCGGGAGAGGUGAGUGGAACUGCGAGUGUAGAGGUGAAAUUCGUAGAUAUUCGCAAGAACACCAGUGGCGAAGGCGGCUCACUGGCCCGGUACUGACGCUGAGGUGCGAAAGCGUGGGGAGCAAACAGG
This 253-nucleotide ribosomal RNA is filed under the name uncultured bacterium. RNAcentral's name for it is "partial 16S ribosomal RNA". It matches the Rfam family "Bacterial small subunit ribosomal RNA", at positions 524 to 776 of the family's 1533-position model. The record is from RNAcentral.